ACGGGAGGCAGCAGUGGGGAAUAUUGCACAAUGGGGGAAACCCUGAUGCAGCGACGCCGCGUGGGUGAUGAAAUAUUUCGGUAUGUAAAGCCCUAUCAGCAGGGAAGAUAAUGACGGUACCUGACUAAGAAGCCCCGGCUAAAUACGUGCCAGCAGCCGCGGUAAUACGUAUGGGGCAAGCGUUAUCCGGAUUUACUGGGUGUAAAGGGAGCGCAGGCGGUUUUGUAAGUUGAGUGUGAAAGCCCGGGGCUCAACCCCGGGACUGCACCCAAAACUGCAGGACUAGAGUGUCGGAGGGGCAAGCGGAAUUCCUAGUGUAGCGGUGAAAUGCGUAGAUAUUAGGAGGAACACCGGUGGCGAAGGCGGCUUGCUGGACGAUAACUGACGCUGAGGCUCGAAAGCGUGGGGAGCAAACAGGAUUAGAUACCCUGGUA
RNAcentral lists this ribosomal RNA (434 nucleotides) under uncultured Lachnospiraceae bacterium. RNAcentral's name for it is "partial 16S ribosomal RNA". It matches the Rfam family "Bacterial small subunit ribosomal RNA", at positions 341 to 792 of the family's 1533-position model. The record is from RNAcentral. Lineage: Bacteria; Bacillati; Bacillota; Clostridia; Lachnospirales; Lachnospiraceae.